GAACCCAGACUUUACCAAAUAAAUUGUCAUCCUACAAGAAACAAGGUAGACGAGGAGACGGACCCACUGGUUGUCCUCUAGGUUACAGAGAGCUGGUAGUCCCAUCCACCACACUACCAGGUGGGUGGUAUAGAGGAGAUGGACCCACUGGUUGUCCUCUAGGUUACAGAGAGCUGGUAGUCCCAUCCACCACACUACCAGGUGGGUGGUAUAGAGGAGACAGACCCACUGGUUGACCUCUAGGUUACAGAGAGCUGGUAUUCCCAUCCACCACACUACCAGGUGGGUGGUAUAGAGGAGAUGGACCCACUGGUUGUCCUCUAGGUUACAGAGAGCUGGUAUUCCCAUCCACCACACUACCAGGUGGGUGGUAUAGAGGAGAUGGACCCACUGGUUGUCCUCUAGGUUACAGAGAGCUGGUAGUCCCAUCCACCACACUACCAGGUGGGUGGUAUAGAGGAGAUGGACCCACUGGUUGUCCUCUAGGUUACAGAGAGCUGGUAGUCCCAUCCACCACACUACCAGGUGGGUGGUAUAGAGGAGACAGACCCACUGGUUGACCUCUAGGUUACAGAGAGCUGGUAGUCCCAUCCACCACACUACCAGGUGGGUGGUAUAGAGGAGACGGACCCACUGGUUGUCCUCUAGGUUACAGAGAGCUGGUAGUCCCAUCCACCACACUACCAGGUGGGUGGUAUAGAGGAGAUGGACCCACUGGUUGUCCUCUAGGUUACAGAGAGCUGGUAGUCCCAUCCACCACACUACCAGGUGGGUGGUAUAGAGGAGACGGACCCACUGGUUGUCCUCUAGGUUACAGAGAGCUGGUAUUCCCAUCCACCACACUACCAGGUGGGUGGUAUAGAGGAGAUGGACCCACUGGUUGUCCUCUAGGUUACAGAGAGCUGGUAUUCCCAUCCACCACACUACCAGGUGGGUGGUAUAGAGGAGAUGGACCCACUGGUUGUCCUCUAGGUUACAGAGAGCUGGUAGUCCCAUCCACCACACUACCAGGUGGGUGGUAUAGAGGAGAUGGACCCACUGGUUGUCCUCUAGGUUACAGAGAGCUGGUAGUCCCAUCCACCACACUACCAGGUGGGUGGUAUAGAGGAGAUGGACCCACUGGUUGUCCUCUAGGUUACAGAGAGCUGGUAGUCCCAUCCACCACACUACCAGGUGGGUGGUAUAGAGGAGAUGGACCCACUGGUUGUCCUCUAGGUUACAGAGAGCUGGUAUUCCCAUCCACCACACUACCAGGUGGGUGGUAUAGAGGAGAUGGACCCACUGGUUGUCCUCUAGGUUACAGAGAGCUGGUAGUCCCAUCCACCACACUACCAGGUGGGUGGUAUAGAGGAGACGGACCCACUGGUUGUCCUCUAGGUUACAGAGAGCUGGUAGUCCCAUCCACCACACUACCAGGUGGGUGGUAUAGAGGAGACGGACCCACACUACCAGGUGUGAAACAGGGCAGAGACUCAGUGGGUAUGCUAAUUUGGUAUAGAGCAGACCUAACACACUAUAUUAACCAAAUGACAUUUAAAAUGUAAUCUACAUAAUCCCAAAAGUAAUGAUUUAUCAUUAAAGGGGCAUAAACAACAUCUAAUAAUGCUGCAUACUCAAAGAAAGGUUAAAACCUCACAUUUCUGGUACUUUUUUAAAAUAAAUUGUUGAGGAUUAGUUACUUUUGAGGACACAAGAACAAGAACACAUUACAAAUAUGAUUAAAAUAUGAAAUAUGAAAUAUGAUACAUUUCCUAUUCAACAAAAAUGUAUGAAUAAGGGUUGAAAGACAUGAUUUCUAAAUAUAGUAUAAUCAAAUUAUAAAAUGACUGACUAUAAUAUUUCACCUUCCUUAUAACUGUAACAUAUAUAUUUUUAUGUUUAGUGUUUGAGAAAAUGUGCAUAUUUUCUCUCCUGAUCAGUAGGUGCAAACCUGGUCAAGAACUACAGGAAACGUAUGAUCUCUGUAAUUGCAAACAAAGGUUUCUGUACCAAAUAUUAAGUUCUGCUUUUCUGAUGUAUCAAAUACUUAUGU
Molecule: long non-coding RNA, 2032 nt
Organism: Oncorhynchus keta (chum salmon)
Lineage: Eukaryota; Metazoa; Chordata; Actinopteri; Salmoniformes; Salmonidae
Exons: 6
Source: RefSeq, a predicted model, not a curated record